RNAcentral lists this ribosomal RNA (568 nucleotides) under Fusarium oxysporum. Its description in RNAcentral is "eukaryotic LSU rRNA". The stretch from base 202 to 355 matches the Rfam family "5.8S ribosomal RNA". The record is from RNAcentral. Lineage: Eukaryota; Fungi; Ascomycota; Sordariomycetes; Hypocreales; Nectriaceae.
GAAGUAAAAGUCGUAACAAGGUCUCCGUUGGUGAACCAGCGGAGGGAUCAUUACCGAGUUUACAACUCCCAAACCCCUGUGAACAUACCACUUGUUGCCUCGGCGGAUCAGCCCGCUCCCGGUAAAACGGGACGGCCCGCCAGAGGACCCCUAAACUCUGUUUCUAUAUGUAACUUCUGAGUAAAACCAUAAAUAAAUCAAAACUUUCAACAACGGAUCUCUUGGUUCUGGCAUCGAUGAAGAACGCAGCAAAAUGCGAUAAGUAAUGUGAAUUGCAGAAUUCAGUGAAUCAUCGAAUCUUUGAACGCACAUUGCGCCCGCCAGUAUUCUGGCGGGCAUGCCUGUUCGAGCGUCAUUUCAACCCUCAAGCACAGCUUGGUGUUGGGACUCGCGUUAAUUCGCGUUCCUCAAAUUGAUUGGCGGUCACGUCGAGCUUCCAUAGCGUAGUAGUAAAACCCUCGUUACUGGUAAUCGUCGCGGCCACGCCGUUAAACCCCAACUUCUGAAUGUUGACCUCGGAUCAGGUAGGAAUACCCGCUGAACUUAAGCAUAUCAUAAACCCGGAGGA